This 398-nucleotide ribosomal RNA is filed under the name uncultured bacterium. RNAcentral describes it as "bacterial SSU rRNA". It matches the Rfam family "Bacterial small subunit ribosomal RNA", at positions 358 to 770 of the family's 1533-position model. The record is from RNAcentral.
GGAAUAUUGCACAAUGGGCGAAAGCCUGAUGCAGCGACGCCGCGUGAGUGAUGAAGGCCUUCGGGUUGUAAAGCUCUGUUGUCAGGGAAUAAAAAAAUGAAUGUACCUGACCAGAAAGGACCGGCUAACUUCGUGCCAGCAGCCGCGGUAAUACGAAGGGUCCAAGCGUUGUUUGGAAUUAUUGGGCGUAAAGCGAGUGCAGGUGGCUUUUUAAGUCAGGAGUGAAAGCCCAGGGCUCAACCCUGGAAGUGCUUUUGAUACUGGAAAGCUUGAAUGUGGUAGAGGGUGCUAGAAUACCUAGUGUAGUGGUGAAAUACGUAGAUAUUAGGUGGAACACCGGUGGCGAAGGCGGGCACCUGGACCAACAUUGACACUCAGACUCGAAAGCGUGGGGAUCA